AAAUUAUGAAUGCUGAGGAUGUUGUUAUUACGAGCAAUGAGAUGUCUUUUUUUAAAAAAAAAAAUUUGGUUGCUUGCUUGCAAGAGGACAUCUUAGCAUCAAAUUU
This is a non-coding RNA of Arabidopsis thaliana (thale cress), 106 nucleotides long. Lineage: Eukaryota; Viridiplantae; Streptophyta; Magnoliopsida; Brassicales; Brassicaceae. The record is from RefSeq.